Long non-coding RNA from Ziziphus jujuba (common jujube), 3117 nucleotides. RefSeq lists it as uncharacterized. The record is from RefSeq and is a predicted model, not a curated record. NCBI's taxonomy places the organism in Eukaryota, Viridiplantae, Streptophyta, Magnoliopsida, Rosales, Rhamnaceae. The transcript has 2 exons.
GCUUUGUGUCCAACAUUGUUUUUAUUUUGUUUUACUUUUCCUCUCUUUCUCUCGCCCUCUCUUUUUUUCUUUGUUAUUAUUCAAAUUGUAAAUCCACUCUGCAUGUUUAGACAUUGAUUUUCCUUGCAAUUUGCAUAUGAUGCUGCGCCAUGACAUUGAUGCUUCGUGCUUUUCCUCCCCCCCUCUCUAUUUUUUGUAUUUCCAUGCCUAAUUAGAGUGUGGGAAAAAAAAAAAAAAAAAAAAACUUUUGCUUCUGCUAUACCACCAUGUUUAAUUUUAUGUGCAGUUUAUAAUAGAAUGUUUAAGUUUGUUUUCUCUUCAAAGGUAUUUCUUAAAUUUCUCAAAGAUAUUUGAGUAGUUUGUUGUUCAACUACUACAUGAAUUGUUCUGUCAAACUGCCCAAGGGUUCUCAGCAUGAAUUAUUUAUCUUCUGCAAUAGCAUAAAUUAUCCCAUAUUUACAAUUUGGUUUGUGAUUUCGGGAAAACUUUGAGAAUUUAGUAUUUAUAAUACAGAGCUGGUUCAUUUUUCCUUGAUAGGCAAUUUAGUACCAGAUGCAUUGAAAUUUUCUCUUGUUUUUAGUGUGUAUGUGUGUGAUUAAGCAGGUUUGAGAAAAAGUGAUCUGAGUAGCCAAGCUGAACAUAAAUCUUUGACAUGUUUUGGUAGUAAUGGAAUUAGUACAAUAUGUUAUUGAUUUCAAAAAGUUAUUGCUUAUUUGUAUGAGGUUUGAACUCAUCAGCCCAAAUGAAGUGUCUUAUUCGGUGCUAGAGAUUUUCAAAACAGCUAAUUGAAUCGUUUAGUGGAUAUGCUUUACUUGAUAAUGAACUCUAUUGCUCACAAAAGAAGCUCAUUAUAAGUGUCUGAAGAAACUGGGUUUUGAAGUCCCCAACAUGAUUCACUGCUCAAAUCCUUUACAGUUUCUAUAUUAUGGGUUUUUCAAACCUAACUGCCAGGGAUAAGGUAGCGGUAUCAAUAACCAUGAAUGGGUAGUGUUAUAGAGGCUGAGGUACUAAGGGAAAGUGCACAGCCCACGUACUUGUACCCAGCAUAGGGUUGUUCGCUGAUGAACUUUCACCUGUUUGCAUAUGAACAUGGGCAUGACAAAUGUGAGCUCGAGUUUCUGUAUAUUUUGUAUGGCUGCAAAAUGCAUAGGAUCAUCAGCAAAAUGUUUUUGAUACAAACAAGCUAUGAUAUGAAGAAUUUUAUUAGAAACAUGUGCUUGAUUAGAAUUUUUGGUAAUUUAGGCAAAAUCCUUUAUAAAAAGUACUUAAGGCAAAAUUACAUAAGAAGGGAAUUUAAAAGAGGGUAUCUGUGAUUCUGAAAAUUAAAUCAGUUGACUUGAGAAAUCUUGGAGCUAAAAGCAUUUAGGCAUAGUUUAUGCGAUUGAGAAUCUAUCUAUAUUCUAUAUAUAUAUAUAUAUAUAUAUAUAUAUAAAAGAAGAAGAGUAUACGCCACAUGUCAGCAUACUCAUCUUUCAAAUUCCCUUUAAAAUCACCUUCUUUAUUUUUAUUUUAUUUAUUUAUUUAUGGUGCAUAUAAUGUGAGGUAUUUAUUUUUCAAAUUUAGAAAUUAAAAUAAAAAAUUCGGGACAGUCUUUGUGUACAAAAAGGUUCAUAUAAUACAAAUUUUAAUUUACACAGUUAGUGGAAUUGCCAUACACACAAUUGUAUUGUUAUUCAGCUUUUACCAUACAUGAAAUUGCCAUACACGAAAUUUAUUCUUAUUUUAAUUUUAUUUAUUUACUUGUGGUGCAUAUAAUGUGAGGUAUUUAUUUUCUAAUUUAUGUAUAUGGCAGUUUUUUUUUUUAUUUUUUUUUAUUUUUAUAUUACAGUUAAUGGAAUUGUCGUACACGAAAUUGCAUUGUUAUACAGUUUUUACCAUACACGGAAUUGCCAUAUACAGAAUUGUAUUAUUAUAUAGUUUUUACCAUAUACGGAAUUGCAUUAUUAUAUGAAAUUGCAUCAUUAUAGUAACUUUUUGAAAUAAAUUUAAAAUAAAUAAAAUAUUUUAUUUUAUUAUAUUUACCAAAUAAGUCAAAUAUAUUUGACUAUAAAUAACUAGGUGUCAUCUUUCGGUUAUUUAAAAUUUCGGUAUUCAAUACUCUGUUGGGUUUUAUUCUCUCAUAUUUCUAUUUAGUUAUUAAAGUUUUUUUUAUUGAAUUUCAAUUUGUUUUCUUUUUUUGAUGGAUCCUAAUAAAAAUCAUCUUAAUCAUAAGUAUGUGCGUGAACCAUGCUAUGGAUUUUUUAUUGAAGAUGAUGAUGUUGCUGUGGAAAUUGAUGGUAAAUAAUGAAACUUUUCUGAUGAAGAAUCCUCACUGAUUAUAGAUUCAUCCAUAUUUAUCAACUUUUUCAAGAGGAUAUAGAACAAAAAGAUAAAAAUGAGAAGACAAAGUUAAUAAUUGUUUUGUUUUUACUUUAUGAGUUUGUCUCACGAAGUUAUUGAAUUUUGGAGUCCUAAAGUUAUUGAAUUUCAAAAUAAGUAUGUCUAUUAUGAGUAUUUUUUUUACUUUAUUUUUUAAGUUGGUAUCUUUGUUUCAUUUUACUGUAAUAAUUGUUUUCUUUUGAAGAUUGAUGGGUGAAGGUGAUUGCAGCUGUUAAAGAAUAAGUCAAAUAUCUUCUUCAUCUACUUAUUCUGUAUCUAAUGAUUUAAAAAGUAGAGAAGCUAUUGUGAAAAGUAUCGAAGAGUUAGUGAAAUGUAUAGAGGUAAAAAAGCAAUACAAAAAAUAAUAUGGCAAAAUUUUGUUACAUAUAUGUUACCAUAUUAUUUUUUGUAUUGCUUUUUUACUUCUAUAGAUUCCACCAACUCUUCGAUACAUUUCACAAUAGUUUCUCCACUUUCUAAGUCAUUAGAUAUAAAAUAAGUAGAUGAAGAAGAUAGUUGACUUAUUCUUUGAUAGCUGCAAUCACCUUUACCUAUCAAUCUUCACAAGAAAACAAUUAUUAAAGUAAAACGAAACAAAGAUACCACAUUUAAAAAAUAAAGUAAAAGAAAUACUCAUAAUAGACAUACUUAUUUUGAAAUUCAAUAACUUUGGGACUCCAAAAUUCAAUAACUUCGUUUACUCAUAAUAGACAUACGCAUAAAUUGAAGAUGAAACAAUUAUUAACAUCGUCUUCUCAU